Erigeron canadensis is the source of this 1321-nucleotide RNA transcript. It is a transcript of the gene named G-type lectin S-receptor-like serine/threonine-protein kinase At4g27290, with no coding region annotated. NCBI's taxonomy places the organism in Eukaryota, Viridiplantae, Streptophyta, Magnoliopsida, Asterales, Asteraceae. The record is from RefSeq and is a predicted model, not a curated record. The transcript has 7 exons.
CUUUGGUUUGGGGACUUUUUUGACAUCAGAGUUCUUCCGGACGGAGGUGGCGGUCGAGAUAUUUUUGUAAGAAUGUCUUCAUCUGAGUCAGAUGCUCAAUCGAUAUUCAAGAAAACCAGUAGACAAAAUACUAAAAUCACCCUACUAGUAACAAUUCCGGGGGUUCUACUCAUUGGUUUUAUCUCUACAUGGAUUUGGUAUGCAAGGAGUACAAGGAAUCAUUUGCGAUCUAUGGGGAGAGGGGGUUCGUUUCAUGUCUCUAAAAGCAAGGAAGAAAACUUUCAGCUACCACUGUUACGCUUCUCUAGUAUAGCAACUGCCACUUCAAGCUUUUCAACUGACAAUAUACUUGGAGAAGGUGGAUUUGGGCCAGUUUAUAAGGGUGUGCUAGAAGGGAUAGAGAUUGCAGUUAAGCGUCUCUCCGAGACUUCUAACCAAGGAGUUGAUGAGUUCAAGAAUAAAGUCAUUUGCAUUUCAAGACUACAGCACCGAAAUCUUGUGAAGCUCUUAGGCUGUUGCAUUGAAAAAAACAACAAACUGCUGAUAUAUGAGUACAUGCCAAAUAAAAGCUUAGACUCAUUUAUAUUUGAUGAAGACAAAAGAAAUGCUUCUUGAUUGGACGAAACGCUUCAACAUCAUUAAAGGCAUUACUCGAGGACUUCUCUACUUGCAUCAUGAUUCACGAUUAAAAAUCAUCCAUAGAGAUCUUAAAGCCGGGAACAUUCCCUUAGAUCAAGAUAUGAAUCCUAAGAUUUCUGACUUUGGUCUAGCUAGAAGUUUUCCAGGAAAUGAGACCCAGGCAAACACAAGAAGAGUUGUUGGCACGCAACGAAUUUAGCUUUGGGGUUUUGGUUCUUGAGAUUGUAAGUGGGAAGAGAAAUAGGGGUUUAAUUCAUCAUGGGCAUGACAAUAAUCUUAUAGGACAUGCCUGGAGUAUAUAUAAUGAAGGCAAUCCAAUGGAAUUAGUGGAUGCAAUUUUAUCUGAAUCAAUCCAAGUAGUAUCCAACCAUCCGAAGUUUUAAGAUCAAUCCAAGUAGGACUGUUGUGUGUUCAACAGAAUGCAGGAGACAUGCCAAGCAUGUCGUCUGUAGUUAGGAUCUUGGAUGGUGAGGGUGCAAUGCCAAAACCAAAGCAACCAGCAUUUUUCAUGGGAAGGGUGCAACCCAAGUUUUAAGAUCAAUCCAAUAUGUACAAAUAAUGGUCUAACUAUUACGCAUUUAGAUGCUCAUUAGAAAGCUUAGGGAGCAUUUGGUUUGUAGAAUGUUUCUUUGGAGAAAUGUAAUUUGACGAAGUAAAUAAAAUAUAUCAAGCAUUUGGUAUA